CAAGGGAAAAGAGAGUGGCAGUAGUGGGCCCAACAAAUUCAUCCUCAUCAGCUGUGGGGGAGCCCCAACUCAGCCUCCAGGACUCCGGCCUCAAACCCAAACCAGCUAUGAUGCCAAAAGGACAGAAGUGACCCUGGAGACCUUGGGACCAAAACCUGCAGCUAGGGAUGUGAAUCUUCCUAGGCCACCUGGAGUCCUUUGCCAGCAGAAACGGGAGACCUGUGCAGAUGGUGAGGCAGCAGGCUGCACUAUCAACAAUAGCCUAUCCAACAUCCAGUGGCUUCGAAAGAUGAGUUCUGAUGGACUGGGCUCCUGCAGCAUCAAGCAAGAGAUGGAGGAAAAGGAGAAUUGUCACCUGGAGCAGAGACAGGUUAAGGUUGAGGAGCCUUCGAGACCAUCAACGUCCUGGCAGAACUCUGUGUCUGAGCGGCCACCCUACUCUUACAUGGCCAUGAUACAAUUCGCCAUCAACAGCACUGAGAGGAAGCGCAUGACUUUGAAAGACAUCUACACGUGGAUUGAGGACCACUUUCCCUACUUUAAGCACAUUGCCAAGCCAGGCUGGAAGGUAAUAUGUCCCACAGCAACCAAAAUCAAGGUCAGUCCAGCCUGACGGUCUGUCUCCAGUGCUGUACUGCAACUUGUAUCUGGGACAGCAGUUAAGUGCAAAGGAUACUAGAAUGAUAAACAAAUGUAUCUUUUAGAUUGUGACUCAAUCUUAUUGAAUCCAGGCAAAAUCAUUAAGAAGAGCUCUUUAACUACUUCAUGUGUUACUACCUAAAGUCCAUGGAGGGUCUUCAAUGUAGCACUCAAGCCCACUUUUCUGCUACACUCAACAGCCGUCCUAGAUGCCAGCAGCUAGAGUGGCUAAGUAGUUUUAUGAAAAUGUCUUGAUUAAAAAA
This 902-nucleotide small RNA is filed under the name Pan troglodytes (chimpanzee). RNAcentral describes it as "retained intron". Lineage: Eukaryota; Metazoa; Chordata; Mammalia; Primates; Hominidae. The record is from RNAcentral.